RNAcentral lists this ribosomal RNA (253 nucleotides) under uncultured bacterium. Its description in RNAcentral is "partial 16S ribosomal RNA". It matches the Rfam family "Bacterial small subunit ribosomal RNA", at positions 524 to 776 of the family's 1533-position model. The record is from RNAcentral.
UACGUAGGUGGUAAGCGUUGUCCGGAAUUAUUGGGCGUAAAGCGCGCGCAGGCGGUCCUUUAAGUCUGAUGUGAAAGCCCACGGCUCAACCGUGGAGGGUCAUUGGAAACUGGGGGACUUGAGUGCAGAAGAGGAAAGUGGAAUUCCACGUGUAGCGGUGAAAUGCGUAGAUAUCAGGAGGAACACCAGUGGUGUAGACAGCUUACUGGACCAUUUCUGACGCUGAGACACGAAAGCGUGGGUAGCAAACAGG